RNAcentral lists this ribosomal RNA (1142 nucleotides) under uncultured Myxococcales bacterium. RNAcentral describes it as "bacterial SSU rRNA". It matches the Rfam family "Bacterial small subunit ribosomal RNA", at positions 397 to 1533 of the family's 1533-position model. Lineage: Bacteria; Pseudomonadati; Myxococcota; Myxococcia; Myxococcales. The record is from RNAcentral.
CCGCGUGUGUGAUGAAGGUCUUCGGAUUGUAAAGCACUUUCGACCGGGACGAAAACCCAUUGGCUAACAUCCAAUGGCUUGACGGUACCGGGAGAAGAAGCACCGGCUAACUCUGUGCCAGCAGCCGCGGUAAUACAGAGGGUGCAAGCGUUGUUCGGAAUUAUUGGGCGUAAAGCGCGUGUAGGCGGCUUUGCAAGUCGGGUGUGAAAGCCCUCAGUUCAACUGAGGAAGUGCGCCCGAAACUGCAGAGCUUGAGUGCCGGAGAGGGUGGCGGAAUUCCCCAAGUAGAGGUGAAAUUCGUAGAUAUGGGGAGGAACACCGGUGGCGAAGGCGACCAUCUGGACGGAUACUGACGCUGAGACGCGAAAGCGUGGGUGGCAAACAGGAUUAGAUACCCUGGUAGUCCACGCCGCAAACGAUGAGAACUAGGUGUUGUGGGAGUUGACCCCCGCGGUGCCGUAGCUAACGCAUUAAGUUCUCCGCCUGGGAAGUACGGCCGCAAGGCUAAAACUCAAAGGAAUUGACGGGGGCCCGCACAAGCGGUGGAGCAUGUGGUUUAAUUCGACGCAACGUGCAGAACCUUACCUGGUCUUGACAUCCUAGGAGCCUGCCAGAGAUGGCGGGGUGCCCGCAAGGGAGCCUAGAGACAGGUGCUGCAUGGCUGUCGUCAGCUCGUGUCGUGAGAUGUUGGGUUAAGUCCCGCAACGAGCGCAACCCUCGCCUUUAGUUGCCACGCAAGUGGAUCUCUAGAGGGACUGCCGGUGUUAAACCGGAGGAAGGUGGGGAUGACGUCAAGUCCUCAUGGCCUUUAUGACCAGGGCUACACACGUGCUACAAUGGCCGGUACAAAGCGCUGCCAACUCGCGAGAGGGAGCCAAUCGCAUAAAACCGGUCUCAGUUCAGAUUGGAGUCUGCAACUCGACUCCAUGAAGGCGGAAUCGCUAGUAAUCGCAGAUCAGCACGCUGCGGUGAAUACGUUCCCGGGCCUUGUACACACCGCCCGUCACACCAUGGGAGUCAGUUGCUCCAGAAGUCGCCGCGCCAACCGCAAGGAGGCAGGCGCCCAAGGAGUGACUGGCAACUGGGGUGGAGUCGUAACAAGGUAGCCGUAGGGGAACCUGCGGCUGGAUCACCUCCUUUCU